Molecule: ribosomal RNA, 403 nt
Filed under: uncultured bacterium
Lineage: Bacteria
Description: partial 16S ribosomal RNA
Rfam family: Bacterial small subunit ribosomal RNA
Source: RNAcentral
AUUGAACGCUGGCGGCAGGCCUAACACAUGCAAGUCGAGCGAGUGGCGGACGGGUGAGUAAUGUAUGGGGACUGCCCGAUAGCGGGGGAUAACUACUGGAAACGGUGGCUAAUACCGCAUACUAUCGGAUAACCCAUAUGGGAUUAGCUAGUAGGUGGGGUAAAGGUUCAACUAGGCGACGAUCUUUAGCUGGUCUGAGAGGAUGAUCAGCCACACUGGGAAUGAGACACGGCCCAGACUCCUACGGAGGCAGCAGUGGGGAAUGUUGCACAAGGGGCGAAAGCCUGAUGCAGCCAUGCCGCGUGUAUGAAGAAGGCCUUAGGGUUUUAAAGUACUUUCAGCAGGGAGGCGUUACCCGCAGAAUAAGCACCGGCUAACUCCGUGCCAGCCGCCGCGGUAAUAC